GGCAUUUCUGUUUUCAAGCCUUAUUAAAAUUUUAAAAUAAGCUUGAUUUCAGAAAUGUCGA
RNAcentral lists this microRNA precursor (61 nucleotides) under Acyrthosiphon pisum (pea aphid). RNAcentral's name for it is "microRNA api-mir-3023 precursor". The record is from miRBase by way of RNAcentral. Lineage: Eukaryota; Metazoa; Arthropoda; Insecta; Hemiptera; Aphididae.